UCUCCGUAGGUGAACCAGCGGAGGGAUCAUUACAGAGUUCUCACCCCUCCGGGUACAUUUCUACCCACCCCGACUGACACUGUGCUGCUUUGGCUGCCCGCCGGCCCCUGCUCGCCCGCCCGCUCCGGCUCCCGCCCGCCCGCCAGAGGCCCUGCAAACUGUUAAUGUCAGUUCCGACUGAUUACCAUAUAAAAGAUAAAACCUACAACAACGGCUUUCUUGGUUCCGGCAUUGAAGAAGAACGCAGAAGAUCGGAACAGCACUCUUCAGAACACCAGC
Molecule: unclassified non-coding RNA, 279 nt
Filed under: plant metagenome
Description: partial contains small subunit ribosomal RNA, internal transcribed spacer 1, and 5.8S ribosomal RNA
Source: RNAcentral